CCAGCUUAAUUUCUCACAACAAAAAACUCAUUUCAUCAAUCACUUCAAAUCAUUUUCUUUUGGGAAAUGGCUUCUAAUGUUAAAGCAUCAACUGCUCUUGUUCUUUCUCUUAACCUUCUUUUCUUUGCUUUUGUAAGCUCUCACAACGUGGAAAACCCCGUUUUUAUUCAUCCCGGAGAUGUGUACCAUAAUGGCAGAAUCACUCAUGGUCAUCCCGGUACAUGCAAUCCCCUAAAUCUCGGUGUAUGCCUUGGCCUGUUGGAUUUGGUGGGUGUUAGUGUCGGAAACGUACCUACAGAACCAUGUUGCAGCGUGAUUCAAGGAUUGGUCGAUCUUGAAGCUGCAGUUUGCCUUUGCACUGCUGUCAGAGCCAAUGUGUUGGGCAUUCCCAUCCACCUUCCUAUUUCAUUGAGCCUCUUACUCAAUAAAUGUGGAAGAGAAGUAGCUACGGAAUACAUUUGCAGCCCUUAAAUAGCCUUCUUCCCCACAUUCUUUGCUUUAAUUGUGUCUUGAAGUUUCCGUUUUCUAUUUGUUCCAUUUUUUAUGUUUCCUUUCUGAUUAAGUCUUUGUAUUGUUGCUCAUGAGUUGAGGACGGCUUUCAACCUUCCCUUUCAUUUUUAUUCUAAAUAAAAUGAGAAUAUUAUUUGAACAAAAAAUCCUAUUUUAUCAUAAUGAGUUGGAAGGGGUGUUUUUAGGGGGAAAAAUCAUAAUUAAUAUUUUCAACAUUAUUUUUAAUGUUAUAUGACUACCAAGUGGAUUUUUUAUUUCAAGGUGUCAAACCAGUGAAUUUAAUAGAAGAAUUUUAACAGCUGUGACUGUUGGACUUGAAUUUCUAUAUUCAUAAAAUACAGAGAUUAGAUUCCUCAAAAUACAAGUAGGAGACUAACCUCCUAAUGCACGAAGCGUACAUAUACUUAGAGCAUAUUUUAACCUCCCAAUCAAUUAAUCAAUCCAACGCGAAGCGUGGAAACCAUACCAGUUAGUGUAAAAAUAUUGAUCGCGUAUUUUUAUAUUUCAAUUUCUUUCCUAAAUACUCAGAUAUACAAAUUUUACUUGAAACUCUAUUCUAAUGUGCAAUGUUAUACAUAAACUUUGAUUUUGUGUAAUUUGGUUUCAUCCAAUUUUUAUAAAUCUCUAACACCAUUAGCAAUGCAACACCAUUUUAUAUGUAUAUGUUGCAUCCACAAAUAUUUAUAUUUAUAUUUAUGUGAUGUAAAAUAAAAUAAAUCGAUGUAUUUAUUUCUUUAAAUACAUAUAGUUGAAUUAAAAUCAAAGUUUCAACUAUACAUUUGAACCGCGAUUAAAUUUUCGUGCGCAUAAUUUCACCAAAUUAAAGUCGGUGUAUCAAAGUUCACAUUCAAUCAAAUUUCAUGUACAAUUUUGAGUUUUAUCCCUUUAUUUAGAGACCAGCUACAUUACUUAUUUCAAGUGUUUUACUGAGUUGGUGUGUAAUGUGGGUUCCUAUUUAAGCCAUCAAUUAAAGAAAGAAAAAUGCAUGUGUUGAGCCGAGGGACAGAAAACAUAAAAAAUGGUAAAUGCAGUUGUAGCCGUCUAGGUAAGUUUCUCGUUUUUUUUUCUUUUUCCACCUAACUAUUAAAACUUAAAAAAUGGUCAUUCAACUGUUAGACUUCUCCUUUUAUGGUCACCAGCCAUUAAAUGGCUAAUGGGAAGAUGAUGUAGCGGAUUAUAGAAUUGACAUAAAAGAAACUUUAAACCUCAACCUUUAUACACCGUGCCAAAUUAGUGUUGAUUCUAAAAAAUUAACCCUCAAUGUUUUCACAUUGUGUAAUUUGGUCUUCUUCUUCUUUUUCAAACUUUCAAUUCUUUGUGACCCUUUCACUAAAAAGCUAAAAAAGAAUAUAAAUCCAUCAACUAAAUUUGAUCGGAGAUACAACAAAAACACUCGAAAAUCAAAGAUGAUAAUUUUUCAUCUUUUCUUUCUCUCAAAAUUAGCCCUCAAUGUCACAAAUAAAAGUAAAAUUGCGAGAGAGAGAGAGAGAGAGAGCUAGAGACCUAAUUACACAACGUUUACAUGUUGAAGGUAAAGAUUUUUGGGAUCAAGACUAUAUUGACACAAUGUAGAAAUGUUCAGGGUUAAAGUUGCUAUUACGCCAACUGUAAAAGAUGUCAAGUUAUCUUUUCGUUAAUAAUUUAACAGCUGGUGACCAGAAAAGAAAAUUUCGAAUAAUUGGGUGACCAGAAAAGAAAAUCUCGAAUAGUUGGGUGAUCAUUUUGUAACUUUGCGUUGUUGGGUGACCAUGACAACUCUCAUAUUUAGAGUUAUUUUAGUAUAGUUUUUUUUAUAGAAUUUUAGGGGGUAAGUUGAGCAUUUAGGUUAAAUUUUAGUACAUUUUAUAGUUUUUCAGAUUAAUUAUAUUUUAUUUGAGUUUUAUCAUUUUUAGAGUUAGUUUGGAUUCGUGUGCUAUCUUCCUCUCUAUAUUGUAAGUUUCGGAUGAAGAACGGGGGCCUUGGAGCACGGGGUAAAAUAUAGUGAAGAGAAAUCAUCUGCUCCACCAAACUUGAUUCAGUGUGGUGGAGCACAAUCUUCAAUUAAGAAUUCCAGAUAGCAAGCAGCCCACUCCACUGCGAAUUCUACGUCUAGUGGAGCCAAGCGAUUAAUACCCUAAAAAUAGAGGGUGACGUGAUUAAGCGGAAUAGGAGAGGAAAAUGAGUGAAAAAAAAAAGAACUUGGAGGCCAAGGAACAAUUCUCUUACACUAAGGGGAGCUUCAACCUUGCAAAGACGAGAAGAAAAAGAGAUCUGGAGCGCUUGGCUUUAGUUCGACGAUUAUUUUUAUCUCUAGAUUAUUUUAUUUUUACUUUUUUUUCAAAGCAAGUUUGUUUUGAGUUUCUUCUUGUGAUGUUUUCUCAACGCAACAAGAAAUAAAAUCUAUUUUCUUGGAAUGAUGAUGAAUCAUAUUUUUUAGUUAAUUAAAUAUUUUCUCUUCAACUGUUUCAAUCUCUGUUAAUUAUUUAUUCAGCUUUAUGCUUAUUUACUCUGUUUGUCCGGCCACCAAGUCGUAUUAAUUUGGUGGUCUUGAUUUGUCGUAGAAGAGAAAAAUUAAGGUUUAGGUCUAGACUAAAUAGAUUAGGAUUAACUAUAGUAGCGCUGACGAAUGAGUUAAUUUACAGCUAGGAUAGGAAUAUACCUGAUGCGCCAAUCAACCCAAUAAGCUUUUCCGUAGUGGCGUUGCUCGACUUGCCUAGCACAAGAAUAUAGCUGGUGGGGGAGGGGGAUUAACUUAGCUAGAUAUUGGGAGGGUCUAGUUAAUGCCACAGAAUCAUAGGUUAAUAAUUGUAUAGACUGAACAAUUGAAUGAGAGAUAAUUGAUUAACAUAAUUAGGUAAAUUAGAGUUCCAAGAUCUUUCAAAAUCGAUUGAGAAACUUAGUAAUUUUCAUUUUUUUUAUGUAGUUUAAUAAAAUCUCUUUAAUUCCUUUAGCUUAACUUCAGUAGUAAUUAGAAUUUCUUUUUUUGAUCCAGAUUGGAAAAAUUUGGAUAAUUGAUAUUUAGCAGCUUAAAAUUAAAUUUGGCCCUCAUAGGAAGGGCAUCAUCUUAUCACUGUAUUACUUGAUCAAUACGUGCACUUACAUAAUAAAGUUUCCCACAUAAAACCAGAAAAGAAAUUAACUAGUAAUGGAGUGGCUACCUAUAUAGUUUACCACACCAUUAGUCCUGUUGAGCAGCUCAAAGAUUUUAACAUAUAUAUAUAUAUAUAUAUAUAUAUAUAUAUUUAUGACAGAAACCUUAAUUAGGCCAUGCAUGUCUGCAAAUAUAAUAUAUAUAUACAUAUACUAACAACGUUGUACUCAUGUUACUAAUUAAAUCGAUUAAAGAUGCCUUGUGAUAAAAAAUUCAUCCAUCAUAGACGUGGGAGAAUUUUGCCAGCCAAACAGAUACUCCAAGAUCCAAGAUUCUCCAACUAAUCAGACUUCGUGCCUCCCAUUUUCUAGUUCUAAAAAAGCUUCAAAGUUCAUACAUUCCAGCUAUAAAAACCCUUUGCUCCCUUCGCCACCUUCAUCGGCAGUUCCAGCUUAAUUUCUCACAACAAAAAACUCAUUUCAUCAAUCACUUCAAAUCAUUUUCUUUUGGGAAAUGGCUUCUAAUGUUAAAGCAUCAACUGCUCUUGUUCUUUCUCUUAACCUUCUUUUCUUUGCUUUUGUAAGCUCUCACAACGUGGAAAACCCCGUUUUUAUUCAUCCCGGAGAUGUGUACCAUAAUGGCAGAAUCACUCAUGGUCAUCCCGGUACAUGCAAUCCCCUAAAUCUCGGUGUAUGCCUUGGCCUGUUGGAUUUGGUGGGUGUUAGUGUCGGAAACGUACCUACAGAACCAUGUUGCAGCGUGAUUCAAGGAUUGGUCGAUCUUGAAGCUGCAGUUUGCCUUUGCACUGCUGUCAGAGCCAAUGUGUUGGGCAUUCCCAUCCACCUUCCUAUUUCAUUGAGCCUCUUACUCAAUAAAUGUGGAAGAGAAGUAGCUACGGAAUACAUUUGCAGCCCUUAAAUAGCCUUCUUCCCCACAUUCUUUGCUUUAAUUGUGUCUUGAAGUUUCCGUUUUCUAUUUGUUCCAUUUUUUAUGUUUCCUUUCUGAUUAAGUCUUUGUAUUGUUGCUCAUGAGUUGAGGACGGCUUUCAACCUUCCCUUUCAUUUUUAUUCUAAAUAAAAUGAGAAUAUUAUUUGAACAAAAAAUCCUAUUUUAUCAUAAUGAGUUGGAAGGGGUGUUUUUAGGGGGAAAAAUCAUAAUUAAUAUUUUCAACAUUAUUUUUAAUGUUAUAUGACUACCAAGUGGAUUUUUUAUUUCAAGGUGUCAAACCAGUGAAUUUAAUAGAAGAAUUUUAACAGCUGUGACUGUUGGACUUGAAUUUCUAUAUUCAUAAAAUACAGAGAUUAGAUUCCUCAAAAUACAAGUAGGAGACUAACCUCCUAAUGCACGAAGCGUACAUAUACUUAGAGCAUAUUUUAACCUCCCAAUCAAUUAAUCAAUCCAACGCGAAGCGUGGAAACCAUACCAGUUAGUGUAAAAAUAUUGAUCGCGUAUUUUUAUAUUUCAAUUUCUUUCCUAAAUACUCAGAUAUACAAAUUUUACUUGAAACUCUAUUCUAAUGUGCAAUGUUAUACAUAAACUUUGAUUUUGUGUAAUUUGGUUUCAUCCAAUUUUUAUAAAUCUCUAACACCAUUAGCAAUGCAACACCAUUUUAUAUGUAUAUGUUGCAUCCACAAAUAUUUAUAUUUAUAUUUAUGUGAUGUAAAAUAAAAUAAAUCGAUGUAUUUAUUUCUUUAAAUACAUAUAGUUGAAUUAAAAUCAAAGUUUCAACUACACAUUUGAACCGCGAUUAAAUUUUCGUGCGCAUAAUUUCACCAAAUUAAAGUCGGUGUAUCAAAGUUCACAUUCAAUCAAAUUUCAUGUACAAUUUUGAGUUUUAUCCCUUUACUUAGAGACCAGCUACAUUACUUAUUUCAAGUGUUUUACUGAGUUGGUGUGUAAUGUGGGUUCCUAUUUAAGCCAUCAAUUAAAGAAAGAAAAAUGCAUGUGUUGAGCCGAGGGACAGAAAACAUAAAAAAUGGUAAAUGCAGUUGUAGCCGUCUAGGUAAGUUUCUCGUUUUUUUUUCUUUUUCCACCUAACUAUUAAAACUUAAAAAAUGGUCAUUCAACUGUUAGACUUCUCUUUUUAUGGUCACCAGCCAUUAAAUGGCUAAUGGGAAGAUGAUGUAGCGGAUUAUAGAAUUGACAUAAAAGAAACUUUAAACCUCAACCUUUAUACACCGUGCCAAAUUAGUGUUGAUUCUAAAAAAUUAACCCUCAAUGUUUUCACAUUGUGUAAUUUGGUCUUCUUCUUCUUUUUCAAACUUUCAAUUCUUUAUGACCCCUUCACUAAAAAGCUAAAAAAGAAUAUAAAUCCAUCAACUAAAUUUGAUCGGAGAUACAACAAAAACACUCGAAAAUCAAAGAUGAUAAUUUUUCAUCUUUUCUUUCUCUCAAAAUUAGCCCUCAAUGUCACAAAUAAAAGUAAAAUUGCGAGAGAGAGAGAGAGAGAGAGAGCUAGAGACCUAAUUACACAACGUUUACAUGUUGAAGGUAAAGAUUUUUGGGAUCAAGACUAUAUUGACACAAUGUAGAAAUGUUCAGGGUUAAAGUUGCUAUUAUGCCAACUGUAAAAGAUGCCAAGUUAUCUUUUUGUUAGUAAUUUAACAGCUGGUGACCAGAAAAGAAAAAUUUGAAUAAUUGGGUGACCAGAAAAGAAAAUCAUGAAUAGUUUGGUGAUCAUUUUGUAACUUUGCGUAGUUGGGUGACCAUAAUAACUCUCAUAUUUAGAGUUAUUUUAGUAUAGUUUUUUUUAUAGAAUUUUAGGGGGUAAAUUGAGCAUUUUGGUUAAAUUUUAGUAUAUUUUAUUUGAGUUUUAUCAUUUUCAGAGUUAGUUUGGAUUCGUGUGCUAUCUUCCUCUCUAUAUUGUAAGUUUUGGAUGAAGAACGGGGGGCAUGGAGCACAGGGUAAAAAAUAGUGAAGAGAAAUCAUCUGCUCCACCAAACUUGAUUCAGUGUGGUGGAGCACAAUCUUCAAUUAAGAAUUUCAGAUAGCAAGCAGCCCACUCCACUGCGAAUUCUACGUCUGGUGGAGCCAAGCGAUUAAUACCCUAAAAAUAGAGGGUGAUGUGAUUAAGCGGAAUAGGAGAGGAAAAUGGGUGAAAAAAAAUAACUUGGAGGCCAAGGAACAAUUCUCUUACACUAAGGGGAGCUUCAACCUUGCAAAGACGAGAAGAAAAAGAGAUCUGGAGCGCUUGGCUUUAGUUCGACGAUUUUUUUUAUCUCUAGAUUAUUUUAUUUUUACUUUUUUUUCAAAGCAAGUUUGUUUUGUGUUUCUUCUUGUGAUGUUUUCCCAACGCAACAAGAACUAAAAUCUAUUUUCUUGGAAUGAUGAUGAAUCAUAUUUUUUAGAUAAUUAAAUAUUUUCUCUUCAACUGUUUCAAUCUCUAUUAAUUAUUUAUUCAGCUUUAUGCUUAUUUACUCUGUUUGUCUGGCCACCAAGUCGUAUUAAUUUGGUGAUCUUGAUUUGUCGUAAAAGAGAAAAAUUAAGGUUUAUGUCUAGACUAAAUAGAUUAGGAUUAACUUUAGUAGCGCUGACGAAUGAGUUAAUUUACAGCUAGGAUAGGAAUAUACCUGAUGCGCAAAUCAACCCAAUAUGCUUUUCCAUAGUGGCGUUGCUCGAUUUGCCUAGCAUAGGAAUAUAGCUGGUGGGGGAGGGGGAUUAACUUAGCUAGAUACUGGGAGGGUCUAGUUAAUGCCACAGAAUCAUAGGUUAAUAAUUGUAUAGACUGAACAAUUGAAUGAGAGAUAAUUGAUUAACUUAAUUAGGUAAAUUAGAGUUCCAAGAUCUUUCAAAAUCGAUUGAGAAACUUAGUAAUUUUCAUUUUUUAUGUAGUUUAAUAAAAUCUCUUUAAUUCCUUUAGUUUAACUUAAGUAGUUAUUAGAAUUUCUUUUCUUGAUCCAGAUUGGAUAAAAUUCGAUAAUUGAUAUUUAGCAGCUUAAAAUUAAAUUUGGUCCUCAUAGGAAGGGCAUCAUCUUAUCACUGUAUUACUUGAUUAAUACGUGCACUUACAUAAUAAAGUUUCCCACAUAAAACCAGAAAAGAAAUUAACUAGUAAUGGAGUGACUACCAAUAUAGUUUACCACACCAUUAGUCCUGUUGAGCAGCUCAAAGAUUUUAACAUAUAUAUAUUUAUGACAGAAAUCUUAAUUAGGCCAUGCAUCUCUGCAAAUAUAAUAUACAUACAUAUAUAUACAUUACUAACAACGUUGUACUCAUGUUACUAAUUAAAUCGAUUAAAGAUGCCUUGUGAUAAAGAUAUCAUCCAUCAUAGACGUGGGAGAAUUUUAUAUAUAUAUAGUUGCCAGCCAAACAGAUACUCCAAGAUCCAAGAUUGUUCAACUAAUCAGACUUCGUGCCUCUCAUUUUCUAGUUCUAAAAAAGCUUCAAAGUUCAUACAUUCCAGCUAUAAAAACCCUUUGCUCCCUUUGCCACCUUUAUCGGUAGUUCCAGCUUAAUUUCUCUAAACAAAACACUCAUUUCAUCAAUCACUUCAAAUCAUUUUCUUUUGGAAAAUGGCUUCUAAUGUUAAAGCAUCAACUGCUAUUGUUCUUUCUCUUAACCUUCUUUUCUUUGCUUUUGUAAGCUCUCACAACGUGGAAAACCCCGUUUUUAUUCAUCACGGAGAUGUGUACCAUAAUGGCAGAAUCACUCAUGGUCAUCCCGGUACAUGCAAUCCCCUAAAUAUCGGUGUAUGCCUUGGCCUGUUGGAUUUGGUGGGUGUUAGUGUCGGAAACGUACCUACAGAACCAUGUUGCAGCGUAUUAAGAUUCUCUUUUCUUGUAGUUUUCCAGAAUGGAAACUAUCUUGAUUAAUUUCAGAGAAGCAUUCACGUAUUUAAUACAUGUAGGAGAGAGUAACUGACUAACCUACUGUAACAGAAACUACUAACAACUCUAACUAUUAACUAACUGUAUUAACUACUAUUAUCCCUAACAUGCCCCGUACAUAACAGUUUUCUAUUUUCAAUGAAGACUUUUCCCACUAGUACUAACAACACACAGGUGAUCGCGAAACUUAGAGAACAUUCCUGCUGACAGAGGCUUUGUUAGUAUAUCUGCAUUCUGGUCAGACGCAGAAAUAUGCUUUACAUGAAGUACGCCAUCUGUAACUUUCUCUCUGACGAAGAAUAAGUCAAUUCCGAAAUGCUUAAACUUGGAGUGCAUGACUGGAUUUCCUGCAACAGCAACUGCUGCUAAGCUGUCGCACCAUACCACGGCCUUCGUUGGUACUAAGACACCCAACUCAGUCAACAACGCCCGAAUCCACACAACUUCGGUAGUGACAAGAGCCACACUCCUGUACUCAGCUUCUACUGUUGAUCUCGAAAUAACUUGUUGCUUUCUGGAACUCCAAGAGAUUGGAUUCCCUCCGAGAAACACACAAAAACCCGAUGUUGACCUCCGAUCAUCCACAUCUGAGCCCCAGCUGGCAUCCGAAUAUCCCUCAAGUAAGAACCUUGAAGUUCGGGUGAAUUUCAACCCAUAGUCCAAAGUUCCUUGUAAAUACCUUAAAAUUCUCUUUACUGCCUUAAAGUGUAAAUCCGAAGGUUUGUGCAUAAACUGGCAAACCUUAUUCACUGAAUAUGCUAUGUCAGGCCUAGUGAUGACAACAUAUUGGAGGGCACCAACAAUACUUCUGUAUUGACGCUCAUCUUCAAUAGGACUUCCUUCAUAGGCUGACAAUCGGCUCGUGGUGACCAUAGGCGUUGGUAAACCCUUAGCUUUAUCCAUAAACACUUUCUAAAGGAGAUCAGCAACAUACUUUUUCUGAGUAAGAAACACUCCUUGAGUAGUAUAACUCACUUCUAUGCCUAAGAAAUAAUGCAGCUUGCCUAGGUCUUUGAGGGAAAACUUCUCAUUUAGCUGAGUGACAAACUCAUCUAUGAAUACGUCAUCAUUCCCUGUGAUGAUAAUGUCAUCCAUGUAAACUAACACAUAAACCAUCCGAGAGCCCGACUGUAGAAUAAACAAAGAACUGUCAGCUUUGGAUGCUUUAAACUAAAAAUCAACCAAAAACUCUCGCAACUUGUAAAACCACGCCCUUGGUGCCUGUUUGAGACCCUACAGGGCCUUUCGAAGUCGACAUACUAGCUGUUGACCAUUGGCGCCUUGCUGUUCAAACCCCGGAGGCUACAACAUGUAGAUUUCUUCUCGAAGGUCUCCAUUCAAGAACGCAUUAUUUAUGUCAACUUGUCGAAGCGACCAGUUGAAAGAGACUGCCAACGCAAGGACCACUCUUAUGGUAGUAGGCUUCACUAUAGGGCUGAAGAUUUUGCGGAAAUCUAUUCCAGCUUCUUACAAGUACCCCUUAACCACAAGUCGACCUUUAUGCCUCGCAAUAGACCCAUCUGCAUGUCGUUUGAGCUUGAAAAUCCAUUUGCAGCCAAUUGCUUUACGACCAGCUGGUAAUGGCAUGAGAUCCCACGUAUGGUUCGCAAGUAAGGCUCGAUACUCCUCCUGAGCAGCGUUCGUCCAAGUAGUACUCUGAAAAGCCUCAACUAUGGUCAACGGUUCCUUCUCUUCUAAACAUGAAGAAAACACCUUUGGCUUAAAAAUCCCGCUUUUGGCACGAGUCUGCAUGGGAUGGACGUUCAUAUUUUGUGGAACCUCCACACUGGUCUCAUGCUGAACACUUGAAUAAGACCCAUCAGCUUGUGACUCAACAACUACAGGAGAAAUUUGAGGUGAGUUGGUAGAUGAAAAACCUUGAUGGGAAGUCUCAGAAGCCAUCCGAUUGGAGCCUACAUGAGAUUGACCAUGAGAAUUCUCAGAAGAAGACCGAUUAACAACUACAGGAAGUAUGGUCUGGCCAAGCAGGUUUUGUGUAGAGGUAACUGAAGAUCGAGAACAAAAACCAUGCUGAAAAGGAAAGAGCUUCUCAUCAAAGCGAACAUGACGAGACAGAUACACUCGGCCAUCAGCAGCUAAACACCUAUAACCCUUUGUAUUAGGGGCACUGCCAAGAAACACACAAAGUUGUGAUCUGAACUGCAACUUGUGCUUUUGAAAAACUCGUAAGUCAGGAAAACAUGCACACCCAAACACUCGAAGCAGGUCAUAGCUUAGCUUAUGUUUGUGAAGUUUUUCAUACGGAUUGACAUUGCGCAGCACGGGAGUAGGCAGUCUAUUCGUCAAAUGAGCAGCAUGUGCAAAUGCAAAAUACCAGAAAUUUAAAGGAAUACCAGACUGAGCUAGGAGUGACAGUCCCAUGUCGACAACUUGGCGAUGCUUCCUCUCAGCAACUCCAUUUUGCUCCGAAGUGUAUGGACAAGUGGCUCGAUGUACGACGCCCAAGCGAGAGAGUUCCUUUUUCAGACCACGAUACUCUCCACCCAGUCCGUUUGCAACACCUUGAUAGAACACCCAAACUGCACUUUGACCAUUUGAUGAAAAUCAAAAAAACAACGAACCACCUCAGACUUGUUCUUAAGAAAGUAAAUCCACGUGUAUCGGCUAUACAUAUCAACAAAAGAAACAUAGUAACAAAAACCAUUUGAUGUCAUACAAGCUGGUCCCCAUACAUCUGAGACCACUAGCUCAAAAGGAAAGGAAUACACUGUCUUGGAUGGAGAAAAAGGAAUCUUGUGAGCUUUGCCUAGUUGACACGAACUACACAAACUAGGUAAGCUAGUCUGAUCAAAACGAACUUUACAAGACUUUAAUACAUGAUCCAACACUUUGGAACAUGGAUGGCCAAGUCGAUUAUGCCAUAAGGCAUUCGACGAGAGUUGAACAUUAUUGAGCAAACUGGAACUAUGCUUUGAGAGAGAGUGAUUAGAACCGACAGCAGACUUGGAAAAUUGAAACCGAUAAAGACCUUCAUGCAUGUGGCCCUCGAGAAGAAUCAUCCCUGUCUGUAUGUCCUUCACAAAGCCGAGAAACGGGUGAAACUCAAAAUAAACCCCAUUGUCUUUUGCAAAUUGGCCUAUAGACAUCAAGUUUUUACACACUGUAGGUACAUGCAAUACAUUCUGAAGAUGUAAGAGCCUGGAACCUGCUAAAACACUAGAGGACCCUACAUGAUCAAUAGAAACAGGCUUACCAUUCCCCAUGAGAACACGACCUGUACCUGUAUAGGGAGAGACAUUCACAAGGGUUGACCUUUCAGGCGUAAUAUGAUUUGUCGCACCCGAAUCCGGAUACCAAGUUUGAUUAGAUUGAAUUGUGGUCUACGAAGAUGGUGAUUGUGAACACGACCCUAUGCACGAACCCAUAAACGAGCAAACUAUUGCAAGAGGAGUGAAGUCACGAGACUGAUGAAAGUUAACCGACGGAGUUUGACCAGAGAAAUUUUUAUCGAACCGAUGGUAGCAGUCUUGAACCACAUGUCCAAUCUUUCCACACAGUUGACACUGUGGUCUGGACCAAGACCAUCCUCGACCACCUCUAGUUCUCCCACGCGACCAUCCUCGACCAGCACCAGUAUCUCCUUGUUUAGAAGACUGAGAAUAAGUCGACUUGGACCCUUCUCCAGAGCGACCUUGAAACUUAGUCACCAAAUUUGCUUGUACAGAAGUUUCUGUCAUCAUCUCUAAAUGUCUAGCCUUACAAUCAAGAAGCAUGUUAGUGAGUAAAUCCAAAGAAAUUGGAGUCGCAGAAGCAAACACUCGAACUGACUCAUACUCCAUAGGGAGACCAGAUAAAAUAACACUUGUUCUCUUUCCGUUACCUCACUGCCAACUGCUGCUAAACUGUCACUUAACUUUUUGACUUUGGCCAGAUACUCUUUAAUGGUUAAAUUGGCUUUCUCGAUAGAAUACAAAGCAUGACGCAAAUUCCCCACCUUAAAAUUUGAAAAGGUUCCAAACCGCUUUUCAAUCGUAGUCCAAAGAUCAACACUCGUUUUUGCUGUUGUGAGAUGAACCAUGAUUUCAUCAGUGGCUGUCGAUAGAAGCCACGACGCUAAACAUUUGUCCUGCUUCCUAAAAGCAAGAAACGCAGGAUUAUCCAACAUCUACCCAUCAACGCCUGCAAUAACUGCUGGAGGAGCUGAAACAGUCCCCAACACAAAACCUUCAAGGCUGUACCCUUCAAGGAUGAGUAACAAUUGAUGCUUCCACAGCAAAAAAUUAUGAUCAGCCAAUUUGAUUGUAUCAUGUUUAGCAAAGUACUGUACUGUCGAUAGUCCAUCAUUGCCAAGAUGCGCCGAAUGAAGCUCUUCUCCAGAACCGGUAGAACCACGUGGAGUCUCUAGUCCAGGAACUGGCUCCGUGGCCAUGAAGAAAAAUAAUGAAGAAAAACAACCACAAAAACCUUUAAAAAAAACUUAGGCUCUUGAUACCAUAUUAAGAUUCUAUUUCCUUGUAGUUUCCAGAAUGGAAACUAUCUUGAUUAAUUUCAGAGAAGCAUUCACGUAUUUAAUACAUGUAGGAGAGAGUGACUGACUAACCUACUGUAACAGAAACUACUAACAACUCUAACUAUUAACUAACUGCAUUAACUACUAUUAUCCCUAAGACAGCGUGAUUCAAGGAUUGGUCGAUCUUGAAGCUGCAAUUUGCCUUUGCACUGCUGUCAGAGCCAAUGUGUUGGGCAUUCCCAUCCACCUUCCUAUUUCAUUGAGCCUCUUACUCAAUAAAUGUGGAAGGGAAGUAGCUACGGAAUGCAUUUGUAGCCCUUAAAUAGCCUUCUUCCCCAUUCUUUGCUUUAAUUGUGUCUUGAAGUUUCCGUUUUCUAUUUGUUCCAUUUUUUAUGUUUCCUUUCUGAUUAAGUCUUUGUAUUGUUGCUCAUGAGUUGAGGAAGGCUUUCAACCUUCCCUUUCAUUUUUAUUCUAAAUAAAAUGAGAAUAUUAUUUGAACAAAAAAUCCUAUUUUAUCAUAAUGAGUUGGAAGGGGUGUUUUUAGGGGGAAAAAUCAUAAUUAACAUUUUCAACAUUAUUUUUAAUGUUAUAUGACUACCAAAUGGAUUUUUUAUUUCAAGGUGUCAAACCAAUGAAUUUAAUAGAAGAAUUUUAAUAGCUAUGACUGUUGGACUUGAAUUUCUAUAUUCAUAAAAUACAGAGAUUAGAUUCCUCAAAAUACAAGUAGGAGACUAACCUUCUAAUGCAUGAAGCGUACAGAUACUUAGAGCAUAUUUUAACCUCCCAAUUUUUGUUUUAAAUUUUGAUACAAUCAAUUAAUCAAUCCAACGCGAAGCGUGGAAACCAUACCAGUUAGUGUAAAAAUAUUGAUCGCGUAUUUUUAUAUUUCAAUUUCUUUCCUAAAUACUCAGAUAUACAAAUUUUACUUGAAACUCUAUUCUAAUGUGCAAUGUUAUACAUAAACUUUGAUUUUGUGUAAUUUGGUUUCAUCCAAUUUUUAUAAAUCUCUAACACCAUUAGCAAUGCAACACCAUUUUAUAUGUAUAUGUUGCAUCCACAAAUAUUUAUAUUUAUAUUUAUGUGAUGUAAAAUAAAAUAAAUCGAUGUAUUUAUUUCUUUAAAUACAUAUAGUUGAAUUAAAAUCAAAGUUUCAACUAUACAUUUGAACCGCGAUUAAAUUUUCGUGUGCAUAAUUUCACCAAAUUAAAGUCGAUGUAUCAAAGUUCACAUUCAAUCAAAUUUCAUGUACAAUUUUGAGUUUUAUCCCUUUAUUUAGAGACCAGCUACAUUACUUAUUUCAAGUGUUUUACUGAGUUGGUGUGUGAUGUGGGUUCCUAUUUAAGCCAUCAAUUAAAGAAAGAAAAGUGCAUGUGUUGAGCCGAGGGAAAGAAAACAUAAAAAAUGGUAAAUGCAGUUGUAGCCAUCUAGGUAACUUUCUCGUUUUUUUCUUUUUCCAUCUAACUAUUAAAACUUAAAAAAUGGUCAUUCAACUGUUAGACUUCUCCUUUUAUGGUCACCAGCCAUUAAAUGGCUAAUGGGAAGAUGAUGUAGCGGAUUAUAGAAUUGACAUAAAAGAAACUUUAAACCUCAACCUUUAUACACCGUGCCAAAUUAGUCUUGAUUCUAAAAAAUUAACCCUCAAUGUUUUCACAUUGUGUAAUUUGGUCUUUUUCUUCUUUUUCAAACUUUCAAUUCUUUGUGACCCUUUCACCUAAAAAGCUAAAAAAGAAUAUAAAUCAAUCAACUAAAUUUGAUCGGAGAUACAACAAAAACACUCGAAAAUCAAAGAUGAUAAUUUUUCAUUUUUUCUUUCUCUCAAAAUUAGCCCUCAAUGUCACAAAUAAAAGUGAAAUUGCGAGAGAGAGAGAGAGAGAGAGAGAGAGAGAGAAAGCUAGAAAGAAAACAUAAAAAAUGGUACAUGCAGUUGUAGUCACCUAGGUAAGUUUCUCGUUUCUUUUUCUUUUUCCACCUAACUAUUAAAACUUAAAAAAUGGUCAUUCAACUGUUAGACUUCUCCUUUUAUGGUCACCAGCCAUUAAAUGGCUAAUAUGAAGAUGAUGUAGCGGAUUAUAGAAUUGACAUUGUCGAAACCAUUUUUUUGAAAGAAAAAAAAUUUUAGGUUGUCGACUUUAAAAAAAGAAAAUUUGGAGUCGCCACUAAUCUUUUAUUGAGGUGUGAUUGGAUCACCUAAAAAACGGCUUAGGUCUACGAGUUUUAAAAAAAUGGAUCCGGGAGUCUGUUACGUACGAGGAAGGAUUAGCACCCUCGUAACGCCCAAAAUUGGUACCUAGUUAAUUAAUUAGUGUCUUAAUGUCGAGAAUUUGAAGAAUAUAAUCCUUAGCAAAAACUUAAAAAAAGUUACGUAUUAAGACCCUUACCAUUUCAAAGAAAGAAAAAUGCCACACCCAAUGCGUUAGGGCACAACAUUCUAUUUUCCCCAAAAAUGAAUUAGGACAAAAUACUCGUGUAAUAAAAAUUUAAAAGAAUAUCCAUUCAUUCAAGAUUUAAUAAAUCGCGGCCCAAUACGUUAGGGCACAAUUCCAUAAAAUCCUAAACUCGGAAUAUUUCCUUUAUUAUUUUUUUAAAAAAAUCUUUAUCUCGAGAAAUCAACAUGUCACAUCCAAUACGUUAGGACACAACCCGUUGAACUCCCAAUGAUAAGUUUUAUUUUAUUUGAUUUAAAGAGCAAUCCUCGAUUGUUAGAUUUUACAAAAAAAAUUGAAACCCAAUACGUUAGGGCUCAAUUUUCUUGAGAAAUCCUAAAUACGAGUAUUAUCCCUAUUUUGAAACGUUUUAUUUUAAAAUUAAAUAAAAAGAUAGUGUAAUGUUAUGUUGAAUAUGUGAAUAAAUGCCCCUUUAAACAAAUAUAAAUAAUGAAUACAACAAUUUCAUAGAAACAAUAUGAAUAAAUAAGCAAAUAAACAAGAUAAUGACAUGCAAAAUAUCAAAUAAAUGGACAAGAUAAUAAUAAAAAUAUGCAAACAUAAAUUAAUAAGCAAAUAAACGAAAAAGGAUAUAUACAUGUACACAUAAAAAUAUAUAAGUUUAAAAUAUUUAAAAUAAUAUCAAAAUUAAAUAAAUAAAUAAAACAAGUAUAUAUAUAUGUAUGCGAAAAAUAUUAGUUUUUUUUCUUUGAAAAAGGUAUAAAUACAUGCUUUAAAAAAAUACCUAUAUAUAAAAUAAUAAUAAUUUCAUAUGAGAAUUAUAAAAUAAAAUAAAAAAAUACAAUUUCGUUAUAAAAAAUAUUGAUUUUUAAAGAAAAUAUGAAAAAAAAGACUAAAUUGGAUCGCAAGUAAAGAUCCGAGGUAAAUUCGCAAAUAAAUAAAGUCUGGAGGACUAAAUUGAAUGCGCGAAUUACAUAGAGGGGUUGGAAGGGCAAUUUUCCCUUCUCCUCAAAACGACGUCGUUCACAUUCGGAUGAAAUUGAAAACAGUAAUAAGAAAAAGGAAUAAUUUAGAAAAUAAAAAAAAAACUUAAUUGUAAAAACAUUAAAAGGCGGAGGGACUAAAAGCGCAAUUUACCCCUCCACUCAAAAACACGCGGAUCCUAGGCUGGGUCAGGUUGGAUUCGGGUCGGCCUCCCCAAAACGACGCCGUUUUAGGCAUCUGGAGGCCUUCCAAAACGGUACCGUUUUGGUACCGUAUACAAGCCUCCCUUCCCUCAAAAAUAUUUCAUUUUAAACAUUUAAAAAAAACAAAAAAAAACCUUUUAAAACUCUCUCAGCCCCUCUGUCCUCCGGCCAUCGGUCGGUCACCGGACGGUCACCGGCCACCGCGCCGGCCGCCGAUCUCCGACGCCGGCACCGGCGUAUGCGGUGGCCGAAAAAAGAAAACUCUCAGAUCUGGUUCCCUCGAGGCCUCUAAGCGUAAAUCCGGGCACAAAACCCUCCAACUAUUCGUGGAAGCACCUCAAAAGCCUAAGAGACUUUUCGAUUUCCGACCGUCUUUCCUCGAAGACGGUUCUUCGGUCGUUCACGGCGAUUAGGGCUUAAAACCUAGGUUCUUUCUUUCCUCUUAUAUUAUUUAUAUAUAUAAACGAUAAAAAUAAAUACAUAUAACAGAAAAAAAUGCAAGUAACAACCUUUGAUUUGGUUUUUUGCUCUCUAUAUUGCGAAAGUAGUAGUUUUUUAUUUCUGAUUUCGAAAUCGAAUCCCUUGCAAUGUAUUGGAAUGGAUUUUUUUAUAGCCGAAUGAAAAAUAAAAGAAAUCAAGAAACAAAUUUUGUUUGAUUCGAUCUGAUUUGAUUUGAUUUUCUUUCCUUUCUUGUGUUUGCAGGUGCAGAUCGUGAAGAUCCGGAGCUUGGCUUGGCUCGGUUGCGGCUCUGUUGAAGAUUAGAAACCCUAGGGUUUCAUCCAUUUUAGGCCAUUGUAAUUUGGGCCACCGCUUUGUUUUGGUUUGGGCCUUGUAGCCCGUUUGUAAUCGGACACUAUGGACUGUUUUUAUUUUAUUAUUUUAUCUGUUUUUGGAAUUUACUGGACCGUGCAAUAAUUGGGUGUUACAGACAUAAAAGAAACUUUAAACCUCAACCUUUAUACACCGUGCCAAAUUAGUCUUGAUUCUAAAAAAUUAACCCUCAAUGUUCUCACAUUGUGUAAUUUGGUCUUCUUCUUCUUUUUCAAACUUUCAAUUCUUUGUGACCCUUUCACCUAAAGAGCUAAAAAAGAAUAUAAAUCCCUCAACUAAAUUUGAUCGGAGAUAUAACAAAAACACUCGAAAAUCAAAGAUGAUAAUUUUUCAUCUUUUCUUUCUCUCAAAAUUAGCCCUCAAUGUCACAAAUAAAAGUAAAAUUGCGAGAGAGAGAGAGAGAGAGAGAGCUAGAGACCUAAUUACACAACGUUUACAUGUUGAAGGUAAAGAUUUUUGGGAUCAAGACUAUAUUGACACAAUGUAGAAAUGUUCAGGGUUAAAGUUGCUAUUACGCCAACUGUAAAAGAUGUCAAGUUAUCUUUUCGUUAAUAAUUUAACAGCUGGUGACCAGAAAAGAAAAUUUCGAAUAAUUGGGUGACCAGAAAAGAAAAUCUCGAAUAGUUGGGUGAUCAUUUUGUAACUUUGCGUUGUUGGGUGACCAUGAUAACUCUCAUAUUUAGAGUUAUUUUAGUAUAGUUUUUUUUAUAGAAUUUUAGGGGGUAAGUUGAGCAUUUAGGUUAAAUUUUAGUACAUUUUAUAGUUUUUCAGAUUAAUUAUAUUUUAUUUGAGUUUUAUCAUUUUUAGAGUUAGUUUGGAUUCGUGUGCUAUCUUCCUCUCUAUAUUGUAAGUUUCGGAUGAAGAACGGGGGCCUUGGAGCACGGGGUAAAAUAUAGUGAAGAGAAAUCAUCUGCUCCACCAAACUUGAUUCAGUGUGGUGGAGCACAAUCUUCAAUUAAGAAUUCCAGAUAGCAAGCAGCCCACUCCACUGCGAAUUCUACGUCUGGUGGAGCCAAGCGAUUAAUACCCUAAAAAUAGAGGGUGACGUGAUUAAGCGGAAUAGGAGAGGAAAAUGAGUGAAAAAAAAAAGAACUUGGAGGCCAAGGAACAAUUCUCUUACACUAAGGGGAGCUUCAACCUUGCAAAGACGAGAAGAAAAAGAGAUCUGGAGCGCUUGGCUUUAGUUCGACGAUUAUUUUUAUCUCUAGAUUAUUUUAUUUUUACUUUUUUUUCAAAGCAAGUUUGUUUUGAGUUUCUUCUUGUGAUGUUUUCUCAACGCAACAAGAAAUAAAAUCUAUUUUCUUGGAAUGAUGAUGAAUCAUAUUUUUUAGUUAAUUAAAUAUUUUCUCUUCAACUGUUUCAAUCUCUGUUAAUUAUUUAUUCAGCUUUAUGCUUAUUUACUCUGUUUGUCCGGCCACCAAGUCGUAUUAAUUUGGUGGUCUUGAUUUGUCGUAGAAGAGAAAAAUUAAGGUUUAGGUCUAGACUAAAUAGAUUAGGAUUAACUAUAGUAGCGCUGACGAAUGAGUUAAUUUACAGCUAGGAUAGGAAUAUACCUGAUGCGCAAAUCAACCCAAUAAGCUUUUCCGUAGUGGCGUUGCUCGACUUGCCUAGCACAAGAAUAUAGCUGGUGGGGGAGGGGGAUUAACUUAGCUAGAUAUUGGGAGGGUCUAGUUAAUGCCACAGAAUCAUAGGUUAAUAAUUGUAUAGACUGAACAAUUGAAUGAGAGAUAAUUGAUUAACAUAAUUAGGUAAAUUAGAGUUCCAAGAUCUUUCAAAAUCGAUUGAGAAACUUAGUAAUUUUCAUUUUUUUUUAUGUAGUUUAAUAAAAUCUCUUUAAUUCCUUUAGCUUAACUUCAGUAGUAAUUAGAAUUUCUUUUUUUGAUCCAGAUUGGAAAAAAUUGGAUAAUUGAUAUUUAGCAGCUUAAAAUUAAAUUUGGCCCUCAUAGGAAGGGCAUCAUCUUAUCACUGUAUUACUUGAUCAAUACGUGCACUUACAUAAUAAAGUUUCCCACAUAAAACCAGAAAAGAAAUUAACGUGGCUACCUAUAUAGUUUACCACACCAUUAGUCCUGUUGAGCAGCUCAAAGAUUUUAACAUAUAUAUAUAUAUAUAUAUAUAUUUAUGACAGAAACCUUAAUUAGGCCAUGCAUGUCUGCAAAUAUAAUAUAUAUAUACAUAUACUAACAACGUUGUACUCAUGUUACUAAUUAAAUCGAUUAAAGAUGCCUUGUGAUAAAGAAUUCAUCCAUCAUAGACGUGGGAGAAUUUUGCCAGCCAAACAGAUACUCCAGAUCCAAGAUUCUCCAACUAAUCAGACUUCAUGCCUCCCAUUUUCUAGUUCUAAAAAAGCUUCAAAGUUCAUACAUUCCAGCUAUAAAAACCCUUUGCUCCCUUCGCCACCUUCAUCGGCAGUUCCAGCUUAAUUUCUCACAACAAAAAACUCAUUUCAUCAAUCACUUCAAAUCAUUUUCUUUUGGGAAAUGGCUUCUAAUGUUAAAGCAUCAACUGCUCUUGUUCUUUCUCUUAACCUUCUUUUCUUUGCUUUUGUAAGCUCUCACAACGUGGAAAACCCCGUUUUUAUUCAUCCCGGAGAUGUGUACCAUAAUGGCAGAAUCACUCAUGGUCAUCCCGGUACAUGCAAUCCCCUAAAUCUCGGUGUAUGCCUUGGCCUGUUGGAUUUGGUGGGUGUUAGUGUCGGAAACGUACCUACAGAACCAUGUUGCAGCGUGAUUCAAGGAUUGGUCGAUCUUGAAGCUGCAGUUUGCCUUUGCACUGCUGUCAGAGCCAAUGUGUUGGGCAUUCCCAUCCACCUUCCUAUUUCAUUGAGCCUCUUACUCAAUAAAUGUGGAAGAGAAGUAGCUACGGAAUACAUUUGCAGCCCUUAAAUAGCCUUCUUCCCCACAUUCUUUGC
RNAcentral lists this long non-coding RNA (20190 nucleotides) under Gossypium raimondii (Peruvian cotton). Its description in RNAcentral is "long non-coding RNA (GRAI_LNC009554)". The record is from RNAcentral. Lineage: Eukaryota; Viridiplantae; Streptophyta; Magnoliopsida; Malvales; Malvaceae.